ACAUUUUGAGAAGUCAUUUUGCCUAGCAUUGGUAUAAGUGAUGUCAUAAUGUAUAAUUCCUGAUGUCACUGAUUUCAUAGUUUUUCCUGUUACCAAGAUACUAACAAAACAGUUUCCCUGCUGUGGGCAGAACAACUUAGAUCAGAGGAUGACCAACUGAAUGCCAACGCUCUCUGAGUCUGAACACCUUCAAGAGCAAUCAUGGCACGGCAAAGACGCCAGAGCAUCCAAAGUCGAAGAUCAGCACGCCAGAGAGGGCUCCGAUUAAAGAAAAAACCUGCUAGAAGAUAUCGGAAAAAACAGAGGAGAGUCGGCAGGCGACAAUCCCAUUACCGGAAAAGCUCUGUCUCAGUGUAGUCGGAGUGACUCGCUGAACAUGGAGGAAAACUGCCAUUCCCAGAUACCAACAUGGUGGAAAAUGACCAAGACCAUGGCAGAAACCUGAAACACCAAGCAACUGCAAGCAUUCAUGACAGGCAAUAAAGCAUCUGAAUGCA
Molecule: long non-coding RNA, 497 nt
Organism: Anolis carolinensis (green anole)
Lineage: Eukaryota; Metazoa; Chordata; Lepidosauria; Squamata; Anolidae
Exons: 3
Source: RefSeq, a predicted model, not a curated record